CGGACGGGUGAGUAAUGCCUAGGAAUCUGCCUGGUAGUGGGGGACAACGUUUCGAAAGGAACGCUAAUACCGCAUACGUCCUACGGGAGAAAGCAGGGGACCUUCGGGCCUUGCGCUAUCAGAUGAGCCUAGGUCGGAUUAGCUAGUUGGUGAGGUAAUGGCUCACCAAGGCGACGAUCCGUAACUGGUCUGAGAGGAUGAUCAGUCACACUGGAGCUGAGACACGGUCCAGACUCCUACGGGAGGCAGCAGAC
This 254-nucleotide ribosomal RNA is filed under the name uncultured Pseudomonas sp. RNAcentral describes it as "partial 16S ribosomal RNA". It matches the Rfam family "Bacterial small subunit ribosomal RNA", at positions 99 to 354 of the family's 1533-position model. Lineage: Bacteria; Pseudomonadati; Pseudomonadota; Gammaproteobacteria; Pseudomonadales; Pseudomonadaceae. The record is from RNAcentral.